GAGAGCGGCGGCUCCUCCUCUGGGCCGGCGGGGGCGGGCGCGCCGGGACUGUGCACGAUGAAGCAGAGCAUGCAGGGCCCGCGGAAGAAGCAGUCCCGGCUCCGGGGUGCCGCCGGUUGAGGGGCACCUUGGCUGGGGUCCGGCAGGGCAGCCUGAGGAGAGGAGCGCCGGCGGCGGCACCAACUGCAACAGCGAGGCCUCUUCUGGCUCGGGCGGUUACGCGGCUCCUUCGAGAGAAGGGGAAUCUUCCAGGGCCCCAGAGCAGUGUUUGAGGACUUAUUACAGAUCCUUUGACAUCUCUACUCGGCUGCACUUUCACAAAAGGUUAUAACUCUGUCAUCCCGAUUAAAGUGGGCAGUGGCACAAUCAUGGCUUACUGCAACCUCAGCUUCCUAGGCUCAAGCGAUCCUACUACCUCAGCCUCCUGAGUAGCUGGGAAUACAGAUUCUUGCAAGUGGCUGGUUCCAGAUGGAGUCCACGACCGAAAUGAGAACUUCUUGCCUGCUCUUUCCCAAUUGGUUCUUUCAGAAUAAUGCUUUUUAACCAAUCAAAUGUUGCCUUUUUCAAGGCUACUCACAGCCCACACUUCCCCAGUUCUGAGCCUAUAAAAACCUCAGACUCAGCCACAUGGGGCUAUCUGCCUUUGGGUGGGGACAGCCCACCUUCAGGUGGGGGACUACCCACUUCAGGUCUGUCUCUGCUGAGAGCUAUCCUGUCACUCAAUUAAACUUCUCAAUAAAAUAAAGCCUGCCAGGGCCAAGUGGGCAGCACAAGUCUAGUGGCAAUAAAACUUCUCCACCUUUCUCACUCUCUGGUUGUCUGUGUAACCUCAUUCUCCUUGGAUGAGGGACAAGAACCCAGGACCAUGGAACAGUGGGUACAAAAGGAACUGUAGCACAGAUGAGCUGCGAUCCUUGUGGGGCCCAGACCUCAGGACUCCCUGAGCCAGAGCUCUAACACACUAACACCCAUUUUGGGGUUCCAUGGUUGCUGGUGUCUCCAAGUUUUUUGGUCACCAUCGUGUUCCCCUUGUCCAGACACCAGCACCCAGGGAAGAAGCUACUUGUGGUACGCCUGGUCCAGCCAUAGCCUCACGCAGAGCCAGCGCCUGGGGCUGCCCGCCCUGCUGCAGCAGCCAGCAUGCCUGGCUUACUCUUAGUGGGCAUGAGAUCCAGGCUGGUAGCAUGAGCCAAGCACAGCCUGCCAGGGCCGAGUGGGCAGCGCAAGUCUAGUGGCAAGCCCAGAGCUGAGCAAAGCCCAGACAGGAGUGCUACCAGCCACGGAAAUUUCCGGCUGGGAAGCAGCACCCAAAAAAAAUCCUGUGUCACUUAUACCAUAUACAAAAAUCAGUUCAAGGUGGAUUAAAGACUUAAAUGUAAAACCCAAAACUAUAAAAAUCCUGGAAGACAAUUAGGUAAUACCAUGAUGGACAUAGGAAUGGGCAAAGAUUUCAUGACAAAGACACCAAAAACAAUUGCAACAAAAGCAAAAAUUGACAAGUGUGAUAUAAUUGAGCUUACUGGUUACUGGGCAUAAAUUCCUGGGCAAUGAAAUAAUCUAUACAACGAACCCCUGUGACAUGAAUUUACCUAUUUAACAAACCUUCACAUGUACCCCUGAUUCUAAAAAAUAAAAAUAAAUUUAAAAAAAAAGAC
RNAcentral lists this long non-coding RNA (1655 nucleotides) under Macaca fascicularis (crab-eating macaque). RNAcentral's name for it is "lncRNA (ENSMFAG00000059213.1)". The record is from RNAcentral. Lineage: Eukaryota; Metazoa; Chordata; Mammalia; Primates; Cercopithecidae.